This 492-nucleotide ribosomal RNA is filed under the name uncultured bacterium. RNAcentral describes it as "partial 16S ribosomal RNA". It matches the Rfam family "Bacterial small subunit ribosomal RNA", at positions 29 to 507 of the family's 1533-position model. The record is from RNAcentral.
AGUGAACGCUGUCGGUAGGCCUAACACAUGCAAGUCGAACGGCAUCACAGUAAGAGCUUGCUCUUACGGGUGGCGAGUGGCGGACGGGUGAGGAAUACAUCGGAAUCUACUUUUUCGUGGGGGAUCACGUAGGGAAACUUACGCUAAUACCGCAUACGACCUACGGGUGAAAGCAGGGGAUCUUCGGACCUUGCGCGAUUGAAUGAGCCGAUGUCGGAUUAGCUAGUUGGCGGGGUAAAGGCCCACCAAGGCGACGAUUCGUAGCUGGUAUGAGAGGAUGAACAAAAACAAAGGAACGGAGACAAGGUCCAGAGUGCAACGGGAGGCAGUAGUGGAGAAUAAUGGAAAAUAGGAGCAAGCCUGAUCCAACAAUACCGCGUAGGUAAAGAAGGCCUUCGGGUUGUAAAGCCCUUUUGUUGGGAAAGAAAAGGAGAAGGUUAAUAACACGAUGUACUGACGGUACCAAAAGAAUAAGAACCGGCUAACAGAGUG